UUAAGUGUUAUUGUUAUGCCGAAUAUGUGUAUGUUAUUCCGGAUCAAUUUAAUUUAACUUCGAAGAGGCCAUGUUUAUUUACUUCAUUGGUUGAGUUUUUUCUGGAAGGUCUUUCAGCUACAACUUAAUAUAGAUUGUAAUAAUAAAAUUGUCUGCUUCGCAAGUUGCGGUGGUACGAAAAAGUUUAUGGUGCUCCUCAGCUUUGGGCGUUUUUGGCGAAUACUGUGGUGAGCUGGUUCGAGAGUUUCCCGGCCAGCCAAUAAACUCUACUGAACUGCACACUAAUUGGGCAAAAUGUUUAAAAAAGUGGCCAUUCACAAGGAGACGAUGCAGCAGCACUUUUGGGGCGAUAAACGGCUCAGGUGGACGAAUUGUAGAAGAAGCUACAUUAUGGCAUGCAUUAGCAUUGGUUUGGUAUUCCGUGUUAAAACUUAAUUGAUAGGAUAAGUGGAAUUAUGAAUGCAUGUUUUAUGUUCAUUGAAUAAACCAGAAAAAAAAAUCAA
Long non-coding RNA from Armigeres subalbatus, 503 nucleotides. RefSeq lists it as uncharacterized. The transcript has 3 exons. NCBI's taxonomy places the organism in Eukaryota, Metazoa, Arthropoda, Insecta, Diptera, Culicidae. The record is from RefSeq and is a predicted model, not a curated record.